GUCUCGCGCUCUUUCGUUUCGCUGUAAAAGUUUCCAGCCACUGCCGGCCGAGACACUCGCUUUCGUUCUGUUUGUUUUGACUCGUUGAAAUGCUUUCGCGAAACGCAUUCAGCAGACUUCGGGAGAACGAAGGGACCGUUGAAGCGUUCACCGGAUGAACACUCGUUUCAAGCCCGAGAAUAUACGAACCGCCUCCUGGUCUGACAAAGAAACAGCUGUGUGCAAUGAGCAAGGCACCUGUUACAUGACACGCCUGUAAAGAAGCUAGCCCGAGUGAAACAACAUGCAUUAUAAGGAUUGCCGGGCAACGACAGGAUGACUACCCCCGAAUGUCCACUCUGCAAGUGCGGCGAAACAUGUGAACGUCUGCUACAACAGGUCAUCUUGAACCUCACGCUUGCAAUGCUGUAUUUGUGAAUGGUUUACCAGGCAUCUCAUGGAGGUGUGCCUACAAUCGUCCACAAGUAUUAGCUGUCUACUGUGUCAUGCAACCUACACCGCAAUAGCGUUGAAAUUGAGCACUAGCUCCGUGCAUUAGUUACGUUACCUGGCACUGCUGAGCUCAACGACGCAGGUUUUAUACCCAGCCACGGUGGUCACAUUUCAUUGGGGGCGAAAUGCAAAGACACUCGUGUGCUUAGAUGUGCGUCUGAAGUUCAGGGAAAGACGGAAGCUUGAAGAGACGAAGCAUUUGUUAACAAGAGGUGUCGCUGGAGCAAAUGUUUCGACAAGCAGUCUUGUCUUCUUCAAGGCUACAACUGAGUUUGUUUAACUCCACUCAGUUAGAAUCAAUCUAGAGUUGCCCACUACUGU
Long non-coding RNA from Rhipicephalus sanguineus (brown dog tick), 813 nucleotides. RefSeq lists it as uncharacterized. The record is from RefSeq and is a predicted model, not a curated record. NCBI's taxonomy places the organism in Eukaryota, Metazoa, Arthropoda, Arachnida, Ixodida, Ixodidae. The transcript is spliced from 3 exons.